UACGAAGGGAACUAGCGUUGUUCGGAAUCACUGGGCGUAAAGCGCGUGUAGGCGGCUCGAUAAGUCUGCUGUGAAAGUCCAGGGCUCAACCCUGGGAUGCCGGUGGAUACUGUCGAGCUCGAGUCCGGAAGAGGCGAGUGGAAUUCCUGGUGUAGCGGUGAAAUGCGCAGAUAUCAGGAGGAACACCAAUGGCGAAGGCAGCUCGCUGGGACGGUACUGACGCUGAGACGCGAAAGCGUGGGGAGCAAACAGG
Molecule: ribosomal RNA, 253 nt
Filed under: uncultured bacterium
Lineage: Bacteria
Description: partial 16S ribosomal RNA
Rfam family: Bacterial small subunit ribosomal RNA
Source: RNAcentral